AUUGAACGCUGGCGGAAUGCUUUACACAUGCAAGUCGAACGGCAGCACGGACUUCGGUCUGGUGGCGAGUGGCGAACGGGUGAGUAAUGUAUCGGAACGUGCCCAGUCGUGGGGGAUAACGUAGCGAAAGUUACGCUAAUACCGCAUACGAUCUAAGGAUGAAAGCGGGGGAUCGCAAGACCUCGCGCGAUUGGAGCGGCCGAUAUCAGAUUAGGUAGUUGGUGGGGUAAAGGCCCACCAAGCCAACGAUCUGUAGCUGGUCUGAGAGGACGACCAGCCACACUGGAACUGAGACACGGUCCAGACUCCUACGGGAGGCAGCAGUGGGGAAUUUUGGACAAUGGGCGAAAGCCUGAUCCAGCCAUUCCGCGUGCAGGAUGAAGGCCCUCGGGUUGUAAACUGCUUUUGUACAGAACGAAAAGGUUUCUACUAAUACUAGGAGCUCAUGACGGUACUGUAAGAAUAAGCACCGGCUAACUACGUGCCAGCAGCCGCAGUAA
RNAcentral lists this ribosomal RNA (500 nucleotides) under uncultured bacterium. RNAcentral describes it as "partial 16S ribosomal RNA". It matches the Rfam family "Bacterial small subunit ribosomal RNA", at positions 30 to 523 of the family's 1533-position model. The record is from RNAcentral.